RNAcentral lists this ribosomal RNA (252 nucleotides) under uncultured bacterium. Its description in RNAcentral is "partial 16S ribosomal RNA". It matches the Rfam family "Bacterial small subunit ribosomal RNA", at positions 524 to 775 of the family's 1533-position model. The record is from RNAcentral.
UACGAAGGGGGCUAGCGUUGCUCGGAAUUACUGGGCGUAAAGCGCACGUAGGCGGCCUUCUAAGUCGGGGGUGAAAUCCUGGAGCUCAACUCCAGAACUGCCUUCGAUACUGGAGAGCUUGAGUCCGGGAGAGGUGAGUGGAACUGCGAGUGUAGAGGUGAAAUUCGUAGAUAUUCGCAAGAACACCAGUGGCGAAGGCGGCUCACUGGCCCGGUACUGACGCUGAGGUGCGAAAGCGUGGGGAGCAACAGG